Molecule: long non-coding RNA, 115 nt
Organism: Haliotis rubra (blacklip abalone)
Lineage: Eukaryota; Metazoa; Mollusca; Gastropoda; Lepetellida; Haliotidae
Exons: 3
Source: RefSeq, a predicted model, not a curated record
AUCUCCUUCUCACUAAGGUUCAGUAAUUGGAUAUAAAGUUUAUGAUCUAAAAUAAUUCAUGUAUUCAUUGUAUUGCAUAUAUCCUUUCGUAUAUAUCUUUCUGUCCCUGUACAUA